This 253-nucleotide ribosomal RNA is filed under the name uncultured bacterium. Its description in RNAcentral is "partial 16S ribosomal RNA". It matches the Rfam family "Bacterial small subunit ribosomal RNA", at positions 524 to 776 of the family's 1533-position model. The record is from RNAcentral.
UACGUAGGAUGCAAGCGUUGUCCGGAUUUAUUGGGUUUAAAGGGGGCGUAGGCCGCCUAUUAAGUUAGAGGUGUAACCGUUCGGCUUAACCGGAUACCCGCCAUUGAUACUGAUAGACUUGAGUGCGACAGAGGGUGUUGGAAUGUGUGGUGUAGCGGUGAAAUGCUUAGAUAUCACGCAGAACACCAAUUGCGAAGGCAGAUGCCUAUGUCGUAACUGACGCUGGGUCACGCAAGCGUGGGGAGCAAACAGG